UAAGCAGGUUUUAAUAUUCCCUGCUUGUCUCUUGUAACUGAAGAGAUACCACAGGGAUAACUAGCUUGUGGUGGGCAAGUGUUCAUAGCGACGUUGCUUUUUGAUCCUUGAAUGUUGGCUCUUCCUCUCACCGUGCAGCAGUAUUCACCCACUAAUAUGGAACCUGAGCUGGGUUUAGACCAAUGUGAGACUAUGUAGUUUUACCCUGGUGAUGAUGCAUUGUUGAAGAAGCAAUCCUGCACAGUACGAGAGGACCUGCAGUUUCAGACAUUUGCUGUCUGUGCUUGACUGAGUAGCCAAUGGUGUGAAGCUGCCAUCUUUAAGAUUAUGACUGAACACCUCUAAGUCAGAAUCGCCCCUAAAACGAUACAGAGCAGUCAUCCACAGAUGGGACAUGCUUAAAAAUCAGCGAGGUCUAAGUCUUAAUGCGGUUACAGUAGGUGUCAGUAGCCACAUACUCCUCACAGCAGUAUGGAUCGAUGUGUAUUAACUGAAAAGUCUGCUUACCCCACAGUUCGAUUGCAGGUACAUUUUUGUGGAGAUGUAGACUAAAGAAGUGC
Molecule: non-coding RNA, 560 nt
Filed under: Lepisosteus oculatus (spotted gar)
Lineage: Eukaryota; Metazoa; Chordata; Actinopteri; Semionotiformes; Lepisosteidae
Description: Eukaryotic large subunit ribosomal RNA
Rfam family: Eukaryotic large subunit ribosomal RNA
Source: Rfam by way of RNAcentral